This 280-nucleotide long non-coding RNA is filed under the name Musa acuminata (dwarf banana). RNAcentral describes it as "long non-coding RNA (MACU_LNC006338)". The record is from RNAcentral. Lineage: Eukaryota; Viridiplantae; Streptophyta; Magnoliopsida; Zingiberales; Musaceae.
CUCUACUGCCUCUGCUGACAUCGAAUUAUUUGCAUAUAUUGCAAUCAUCGCGUUCCAAGAAACCAAAUCUUUCUUACCCAUUUCGUCGAACAUUUUUCUUAUAAGAUGUAUAUCGGUCUGAUUGGUGUUUGACAUAGCACUCUGAUUGGUGUUUGACAUAGCAGGCAAGAUACUCGCCAUAGUACCGGCAUCAGGUUUCGGCUUCCGCAGUGCAACCAUCUUCUCGCAGAGCUCGAUAGCACGGUCGUACUGGCCGUUCUGUGCAUACCCAGCAAUCAUC